AAUGAACGCUGGCGGCGUGCCUAACACAUGCAAGUCGAACGAGAAAGAGCUUCGGCUCAAGUAAAGUGGCGAACGGGUGAGUAAUACAUAGGAAUCAACCCUUUAGUGGAGGAUAUUCUCGAGAAAUUGAGAGCAAUCCUGCAUACGUCCCUUCGGGGAGAAAGGUGGCCUCUUGCUGCCGCUAAAGGACGAGCCUAUGCGCUAUCAGCUAGUUGGUAGGGUAAAGGCCUACCAAGGCUAUGACGGCUAACCGGCCUGAGAGGGUGUACGGUCACAUUGGAACUUAGAUACGGUCCAGACUCCUACGGGUGGCAG
RNAcentral lists this ribosomal RNA (315 nucleotides) under uncultured bacterium. RNAcentral's name for it is "bacterial SSU rRNA". It matches the Rfam family "Bacterial small subunit ribosomal RNA", at positions 29 to 351 of the family's 1533-position model. The record is from RNAcentral.